GAAUAUUCUGGCAGAGGAGCCACUGACAUUUACUAAUUCAAAAUCAGCUGUUCAGACUUACAGAUGGGAGGUGGCAAUGACUUUGCUCAAGGAGACAGAUAAUCUCGAAGAUGUGUGCCACUACUGUGGAGAAAAAAGUGGAGAAACAGAAAAAAGCAAACGUGGGAAAAAAAAGAAAGGGCAAGCAUGCAAUACUGUCUGGUUACCCAACCCACUCAUUAGGACUCCCCCUAAUACUAGUGAUGCCCCAACACACCAGGAGGAUGAAGACCAACCCCCCCCUUUCUCUGACAGGUGAAGUCAGACUCUGCCUAUUUUUGAACAGCUGCUGAUGCAGCAUUGCCAAGUAGCAUCAUCAGCUCACAGACGCCUUGUGCUGAUCGAAAUCAUCCUUUGGAGUGAUGAGGGGAAAGAGUGCCAUGUACCCACCCAGAGAGAGCAAGGCCAAUUUUGCUGCCUGAGGGUUCCGGUAGCUAAUGGCAACUACAUAAACAGGAUUUGAACCGGCGAGCUCCUGGUCAUAGAGGCAGUGCAAAGCCUGCUGGACCACUCGGAGGCCAUCACUAUGUUUUGUUUUGACAGAAAGGUUUGUGUUUAUGUGUAUGUAUCUUUUGCAUGUUUUCCCAUUAUUUGAGCUUGAUUAUUAUGUAGACUUUGCAAUAAAUAAGUAUUUUCAA
Long non-coding RNA from Astyanax mexicanus (Mexican tetra), 677 nucleotides. RefSeq lists it as uncharacterized. Lineage: Eukaryota; Metazoa; Chordata; Actinopteri; Characiformes; Acestrorhamphidae. The record is from RefSeq and is a predicted model, not a curated record. The transcript is spliced from 3 exons.